UCCCUCGCCGCGCCUCCGCCCCGUCCGGGGCACCGGGCCCGGGAGCUCGGGGAUGUCCCGAGCGGAGCUGCCCGAGACGCUGUGAGUGUUCCACCCGUGACGGCUGUGUGAGCGGGGCCUGAGGCUCGACUCGUGCGUGAUGGCCGAGCAGUCGGACAAGGCUGUGAAGUACUACACCCUGGAAGAGAUCCAGAAGCACAACAACAGCAAAAGCACCUGGGUGAUCCUGCACCACAAGGUGUACGACUUGACUAAAUUUCUGGAAGAGCAUCCUGGUGGAGAAGAGGUCUUAAGAGAACAAGCUGGGGGUGAUGCUACGGAGAACUUCGAGGAUGUCGGGCACUCUACUGAUGCUAGAGAACUGUCCAAGACAUAUAUCAUCGGGGAGCUCCAUCCAGAUGACAGAUCUAAGUUAGCCAAGCCUUCGGAAUCUUAAAGGCGAUGUUUCAAGGAAUCUCUUAUUACUACUGUUGAGUCCAAUUCCAGUUGGUGGACCAACUGGGUGAUCCCAGCCAUCUCAGCCCUGGCUGUGGCCCUGAUGUAUCACCUCUACAUGGCAGAGGAUUGAAUGACUCGGAAGCCGUAGAAGGAAAAGGCUGCUUUGGAAAAAGGAGAAAAGAAGCCACUGUUAAUUACUUCGACUGACAGAAACCUUAGCCUGAAAAAAUAAUUUUAAUAUGUUCCUCUUCUUCCUACACUAGAAACAAAAUGAAAAGAACUGUUCUUUCUACUCUUAAACUUUUCAAAUGUGCCUUUUUAUUCAUCAGCUUUGUUUUGAUGUUUUCUCACUGUGUAAUUUGCUUAUUGUAAGCAUGAUCUUAUAAAAAUAUAUCUGGCUUUUAAAAUAUACCACCAUGUUGCCUGUCUGUUCAGUGUAGGCUUUUCUUCAGUGGUUAAGAUCUCUGGUCAUGGAGGUCCAGCUCAUAUGUGACUUGAGGCGAGGGCACAGCCCUUGGAGCGUCCUCGACAUUGUUGAGCAGUUCAUAUGCAGUCACCCCCUAUUUCCAAAGCCAUUUCUUUUUCAAGGAUAUUAAUAAAGGCUCAGAAAUUUUAGCUCAAGAAUUUAUAAUAAUUGUUUUGCUUAAAACACAUGAAAAAAAGAGAAAGUAGUCUCCAGGAUAUAAGAGAGACUGCCUGUCUUCUUUGAUAGAAAAAUGCCAGCAGCAUAACAAGGACCCACGGCCUGUGAGAGCCCAGCAGCUGCUCAUUCUAUCACUUUAAAAACAUCACCCCAAAGAGGCUCCCAGCAUUAUCCUUUCCCAAGUUCUGAGAGUCCUCCUUCAGAGGUGAAAGCAGUUUAUUUCCUCGCUUGAGGAGGUGCUAAUUACCUGACUUGUCAAAACAGUUGGAGGAGAUUAGGGACAUUUUAUCUAAUUUUGAAGCAGCUGUAGGUGAUGGGCCAUGAGGAACCCUGGUUGGCUUACUUCCUUUUUAGAGCUCUGGAUUGACUGGGUCAUCUCCUUUUCCAUUUGUGGUUCUCUGCCUCAUGUAUUAUUGUUAUGCUAUUUCCUUUAAAAAAUAGAACCCCAAAGGAGUAAUUUUCUUGAUCACUAGUAAGUUUGUAACAAGAUGUGAUCUAUCCUGCACAUUUCUGCUAGCCUGUUAGGGGACUGGACAGUGGUGACAUUCUUCAGAAAUAGCUAAAUACAUUGAAAUUUUAUUAUAAUAGAGUAUGGGUUUUUAUAAUCAAUGGCAUGCAUUACCCUUUGCCUUUUGUGUCACUGAAGAAGUGAAAGUUGGGCGAGGGAUGUGGAAAGGUGGCUGUAUCGAAAGGGAAACAUCUUUCAGGAGAAAGCAUCUCAUAGAGAUGGGAUUUCAUGUUCAGAUUUUAAUAAACAUAUCUCUAACAAAA
This is a non-coding RNA of Ictidomys tridecemlineatus (thirteen-lined ground squirrel), 1852 nucleotides long. Lineage: Eukaryota; Metazoa; Chordata; Mammalia; Rodentia; Sciuridae. The record is from RefSeq and is a predicted model, not a curated record.